CAGGCUUAACACAUGCAAGUCGAGGGGCAGCAUGGUCUUAGCUUGCUAAGGCCGAUGGCGACCGGCGCACGGGUGAGUAACACGUAUCCAACCUGCCGUCUACUCUUGGACAGCCUUCUGAAAGGAAGAUUAAUACAAGAUGGCAUCAUGAGUCCGCAUGUUCACAUGAUUAAAGGUAUUCCGGUAGACGAUGGGGAUGCGUUCCAUUAGAUAGUAGGCGGGGUAACGGCCCACCUAGUCUUCGAUGGAUAGGGGUUCUGAGAGGAAGGUCCCCCACAUUGGAACUGAGACACGGUCCAAACUCCUACGGGAGGCAGCAGUGAGGAAUAUUGGUCAAUGGGCGAGAGCCUGAACCAGCCAAGUAGCGUGAAGGAUGACUGCCCUAUGGGUUGUAAACUUCUUUUAUAAAGGAAUAAAGUCGGGUAUGGAUACCCGUUUGCAUGUACUUUAUGAAUAAGGAUCGGCUAACUCCGUGCCAGCAGCCGCGGUAAUACGGAGGAUCCGAGCGUUAUCCGGAUUUAUUGGGUUUAAAGGGAGCGUAGAUGGAUGUUUAAGUCAGUUGUGAAAGUUUGCGGCUCAACCGUAAAAAUUGCAGUUGAUACUGGAUAUCUUGAGUGCAGUUGAGGCAGGCGGAAUUCGUGGUGUAGCGGUGAAAUGCUUAGAUAUCACGAAGAACUCCGAUUGCGAAGGCAGCCCUGCUAAGCUGCAACUGACAUUGAGGCUCGAAAGUGUGGGUAUCAAACAGGAUUAGAUACCCUGGUAGUCCACACGGUAAACGAUGAAUACUCGCUGUUUGCGAUAUACAGCAAGCGGCCAAGCGAAAGCGUUAAGUAUUCCACCUGGGGAGUACGCCGGCAACGGUGAAACUCAAAGGAAUUGACGGGGGCCCGCACAAGCGGAGGAACAUGUGGUUUAAUUCGAUGAUACGCGAGGAACCUUACCCGGGCUUAAAUUGCAGAUGAAUUACGGUGAAAGCCGUAAGCCGCAAGGCAUCUGUGAAGGUGCUGCAUGGUUGUCGUCAGCUCGUGCCGUGAGGUGUCGGCUUAAGUGCCAUAACGAGCGCAACCCUUGUUGUCAGUUACUAACAGGUUCCGCUGAGGACUCUGACAAGACUGCCAUCGUAAGAUGUGAGGAAGGUGGGGAUGACGUCAAAUCAGCACGGCCCUUACGUCCGGGGCUACACACGUGUUACAAUGGGGGGUACAGAGGGCCGCUACCACGCGAGUGGAUGCCAAUCCCCAAAACCUCUCUCAGUUCGGACUGGAGUCUGCAACCCGACUCCACGAAGCUGGAUUCGCUAGUAAUCGCGCAUCAGCCACGGCGCGGUGAAUACGUUCCCGGGCCUUGUACACACCGCCCGUCAAGCCAUGGGAGCCGGGGGUACCUGAAGUGCGUAACCGCGAGGAGCGCCCUAGGGUAAAACUGGUGACUGGGGCUAAGUCAUAAC
RNAcentral lists this ribosomal RNA (1447 nucleotides) under uncultured organism. Its description in RNAcentral is "16S ribosomal RNA". It matches the Rfam family "Bacterial small subunit ribosomal RNA". The record is from RNAcentral.